Molecule: ribosomal RNA, 497 nt
Filed under: uncultured bacterium
Lineage: Bacteria
Description: partial 16S ribosomal RNA
Rfam family: Bacterial small subunit ribosomal RNA
Source: RNAcentral
GAUGAACGCUGGCGGCGUGCCUAAUACAUGCAAGUCGAGCGAACAGACGAGGAGCUUGCUCCUCUGACGUUAGCGGCGGACGGGUGAGUAACACGUGGAUAACCUACCUAUAAGACUGGGAUAACUUCGGGAAACCGGAGCUCAUACCGGAUAAUAUAUUUAACCGCAUGGUUCAAUAGAGAAAGACGGUUUUGCUGUCACUUAUAGAUGGAUCCGCGCCGCAUUAGCUAGUUGGUAAGGUAACGGCUUACCAAGGCAACGAUGCGUAGCCGACCUGAGAGGGUGAUCGGCCACACUGGAACUGAGACACGGUCCAGACUCCUACGGGAGGCAGCAGUAGGGAAUCUUCCGCAAUGGGCGAAAGCCUGACGGAGCAACGCCGCGUGAGUGAUGAAGGUCUUCGGAUCGUAAAACUCUGUUAUUAGGGAAGAACAUAUGUGUAAGUAACUGUGCACAUCUUGACGGUACCUAAUCAGAAAGCCACGGCUAACUACGUG